GUUUAAUCUCAACUCGGGUAGGACUACCCGCUGAACUUAAGCAUAUCA
This 48-nucleotide ribosomal RNA is filed under the name uncultured fungus. RNAcentral describes it as "25S ribosomal RNA". Lineage: Eukaryota; Fungi. The record is from RNAcentral.